This 2287-nucleotide long non-coding RNA is filed under the name Nicotiana benthamiana. RNAcentral describes it as "long non-coding RNA (NBEN_LNC036122)". The record is from RNAcentral. Lineage: Eukaryota; Viridiplantae; Streptophyta; Magnoliopsida; Solanales; Solanaceae.
GUAAAGCCCAUAAUAGACUAAGAUGUCAAAUGAAUACCUGGCGAACACUCAAAGCCCAAUUGCAUGAAUCCAAAUUAACUAAUUAAACAAUACUUUAGUUCUUCAUAAGAGAUUAAAAUAAUAAAAGCUAUUCUCAAACUUUGCAAAAAAAACUUGGACUAAUGCAAAAAAGGUUUCAUGCUAUUAAAUUCCAUCCUACAAUUAACCAUAUACUGAGGUGACCAUAAACUCGUAUACUAUUAACUUCAUUCCCAGAAUAAUUCAAGACCUAUGGCCAAACAACGACACAAUUCUUAAACAAAGAAAACAUCGACUAACAUGAGCCUUAGAUGAACAUUUUUGGUUUCAAAUCUAUGCUGGUCACUUUGGAAAACUCAAUCGACAGUCAAUCCCAAAAUAAAUGCUAAUUUCAUCUUGAGUAAAAUAUAUCUAAACAUAUGUGAAUCGAUUAAACCUUCUAAUGCCAUAAUUCACAAAAAACCCAUAUACAUUCAAACCAUGCUUCAAUAGCCUCACACCCUAAACUACUGGAUUGGAACAAGUAUUAGAGUUUACAUAUCAAAUUUAAUCUUGUAACAUUGUAUCUAAUAACAUAAAAGGAGAAAAUCAUACAUGAGAAAGAACUAACUUAAUACAGAUUUGAUUGAAUUCCAACUACAAAAGAUAAACUGAUCAAAUGUAUAAGCCCAAAGCUUCCUACUCAAAUAAUAACAGAAAGUAUUUCAUUUCACCAUGCCAAAUAAUGUUCAGUAAAUACCUUGUUACAACAAAUAAACAAGGAAAUUCUGAGGUUAAGAAAGAGCAGCAACAGUAAAUCAGCAAAAAUGGAACCAAACGAUAGUGAUUUCAGCCAAGACCAAGCAGCAAAAACAACUUUCAAACCAUUUCAUGAUUUCCAAAUGAAUGAGAAACAUUUUGAAAGUUAUAAGUAUCGAAGUUCAAAAACCCAAACCAGAACCAAAUUGAAUAAGGAAAUGCAGAAAAUUCGGUGUUGUUCUUGCGUCGUUUGCCUUUUUUUCAAAAAUUUUAUUCUUUAAUUUCUGGCUUGUAAGUGAAGAAAGAGUGCCUUUAUAGGCAAGCCUUAGGGAAGCAUAAAAUGGAUUCAGUUUUGUAGAUUAGUCCUUUUAGAAUUUUUAUUUUUGCUCUCAUGUCUUUAAGUUAAAAAUCAGUUUUCUGAAUCAGUCCCAAUCUCGGGUUCUAGGAAGCUUCCCUAUACAGUUACAUGAGAUUCCUCACCUAAAAUUCAAAAUCACCCCUUAGGACCCCUGUUUUUAUCCCCAGAAACCAUGGGUAAAGUUGACCCAGUAAAAUAAACCCAACUGAAUGGGCUGUACUUGACAUUGGGUCAUUAAUGACCUUGAAGCCCAAACUAAAAUCUGAAAUCCAAUUGGUAAUUCAAUGAGGAACAUGAUAAUGACUUGGAUGCUUUCAAAAACUAAAAAAUCUAACUAAUGAUUGAAUUCUCUUUUUUUUUAAAAACUAAUCUAAUGAGCUAUAAUUGACUAAAUGACCAAAAUAACACAAAGUCCCAUCGGGCUGGAUAUCGAACUAAAACAAAAAAUCAGAAGCUAAAAGGUAGAAUGCAUAGACCAACAUAAUUAACCAGACUUUAAAAAAAAUAAACAAAGAAAAUCUAAAAUCAGAAGUUAAUAAGAAAUUUACUAAAUUUAUCAGAAGAAAACUAAACUUAAAGAAAAGAUAGAAGAAAAAGAGAAUAACAGAUGUGAAACAACAUAAAAAGACAAACAAAAUAAAAAGAAAUGCAGAAACUUACCAAGUAUACUCGCAAUCGAUAUUGAUACUCCAACUUAACCCAAGAUAAUGUUAAUCGUUUUUCUCAAGAACCAACAAUCAUCAUUAUUUUGUGGUAAGAUAUCCUUGAAAAACUCAGGAAACUCGAGAAAUAGCCUUGCAUGCAACCAAUUCGAGAAUAGGCAUUUUUUGGUUUUUUAGGGCUUGAACUCAGAUUCAAGAUUCAAUGUGUUCGGGAUAGAUUCGAGGGAAAAGAAUGAGAGAUUUAGGGAGAGGGAACCGUGGGGAUUUCAUGGUGUUGAUUUAGGACUGGUCUGAGGCGGCAGUACCACUGGAGAGGUGGAGGAUUUGGGGGCAGCGCUAGGGUUUGGAGAGUGGUCUUUGAAGAGAAGAGGUGAUGAGAGAUGGGGGAAGGGGAGGGGUCGAACCUUCAGACAAUUUUAUACUGUCGAGUAACCCAGUUCCCAACCAUUGGAUUUAAAGAGAUCAAACGGCUCGGAUUAGGGAUCAAAACGCGGUUGUUUGGGUCGCCGAG